AUGCGGCACGUCUGCAGAAAGAGCAGGACUCUUCACACAGAUCUGAAUGGACUGUGUUAAAAGAAUGUUUGAUUUUGAGUCCUGAAUCUACCUAAUCGCUGCAGUCAUACUAAUUGCAGUGCUCCACAGUUUUCUGGGUCUUCAUUGUCAGUCUACCUGCAGACCCGGAUAUGCGCCUCAGUUUAGUAUUUUCUCUUGUAACCAUGUGUCAGUGGUGUUUCCCUUCGUGCUGAAUGUCUGACUAUCAGAGCAGAGGGGGACCAGUUGAAAGCUGCUCUUUAGCAGCGUGCAUGGAGAAAUGUAAGAUCGAUUCAUCCCCCACUUUUGUUUUUUGUUUCUCUUCACCUCAGCAGGCUCCGUGCAUUGGAGCGACAAAAAACCCCAACAAACUCUUAAAGAGAAAUCUGCAGAUAUCAUCACAAGCUUAGGAAUAUGGAUGGAGAAAGAUGAGAAGGGAACAGCAUGGAUGUCGUAGAAGCAGCUGCCCAACUGAGGAAAGGAAUCAGCAGGAACUCAACAAACUAUUCAUUAACCAGUUCCAUACUUUAAUAUUUGGUUUUCAACAACUGGUUACAAAGUGCCUACUGACAGUGCAGACACAUGAAAUGUGUGAUAAAUGUAUUUCUGGAAAAGCAUUAAAGAAGAAUAGAUCUUGAGAAUGUUCCAAGACCCAAUGAAAGCAGGAAGGGAAAGAAGCUGUGGUCAGAACUCAGCUCAACUAAGUACAUAGGGAACGCUUUUAAGUUCACACUAUAACGAAGCCUUUCUAAUAUGCUUACUCUGGUAAUUUUCCCGCUCUUUAUAUCAAUUUCAUGUUUUAAGUACCAUCAUUUUACAAAACUUCUCACAAAUAAAUGUUAACAAGCAACUUAAACUAUUGUGAAAUAAAAUACUAAAAGUUA
Bombina bombina (fire-bellied toad) is the source of this 902-nucleotide long non-coding RNA. RefSeq lists it as uncharacterized. The transcript is spliced from 2 exons. The record is from RefSeq and is a predicted model, not a curated record. NCBI's taxonomy places the organism in Eukaryota, Metazoa, Chordata, Amphibia, Anura, Bombinatoridae.